Long non-coding RNA from Equus caballus (horse), 2935 nucleotides. NCBI's taxonomy places the organism in Eukaryota, Metazoa, Chordata, Mammalia, Perissodactyla, Equidae. The record is from Ensembl.
GGGGAAUUGAGCUCGUGGCCCUCCUGCAAGAUACACCACCAUGUUGACCCUCUGGUGUUACAGACUGGGAGUCCCCACACCAGAUCUUUCAGUUGUCAUUGAUGAUGGCUGUCAGGUUAGACUCUCUGUUCAUAGGUCAUCACAUUUCUAAGGAACUCAAAAGAAUAAAGUUAUUGUCUUAUCACAGCUGGGAGGUAAAUAGACAAGGAGGGGUCAUAAAAUCUCCAGAGCAGUUGGCUCUCCUGGAGGGUGCAUAUCCAGCCGGGUUCAUUAGUCAAAGGUCAUUCAAAGUUACAAUAUGGUCUGUUUUCUACAAUAUGGCUUCCUUUAUGCCAACCUUGUGUUGAGUCAGUAUCACCAGUGCCAUGCCAGUAAAGAUAAAAUCGAAGCAGAUAGAUCACUGGCCCUGCGUGAAAUACUCCCCUUGAAGCCAGAAGCCAUAAGAGGAAUCUUACCUGUGAUCAAUAGGCUUUUAGAACAAGGAUUGAUCAGGCCACGGAGAUUCCCAUGAAACACCCCCAUUUUACCAGUUAAAAGGCUGGAAACAGCGAAAUAUAGAUUUCUUCAAGAGCUCAGGGCUGUCAAGGUGCGUUUGGAUCCUCAUGCCCCACUCCAUCCCCCCAGGUGAUGUCUGAUCACCCUGCCCUGCCUUCAGCAGGAAUGCUGUUAGGUUGGAGAGAUAUUGUGAUUUAUAAUAAGAAAUGCCUUCACUUCAUUUCUGGAGCAGAGCUCCUAAAACUCUUGUAAAAUUUCUGAUAUGGGAGCUAUAGGGGCAUCUUUUGUUACAAUAAUUACUUUUGUCCUCAGUUCCAGAAAUAACUCCAGAGCAAUAAAGGUGAAAUAGAUAUCUUUUGUUAUUCAUAACAAGCCCCUUUCAACCACACCUGAAUUUAUGUUAAUGGGGUGACUUCAGGAGAACCAUAAGGGUGGGGGCUUGUUGCUAGGGGAACCAAUUGUGUGAUAGGUGGGUUGGAACUCUCAGCCCCAUCGCCUUCACCACAUCUCCAAGGUGGGGAGAAGGGCUGAAGAUUGAGUUCAACAUGGGGUUCAGAGAACUCCCAGGUCCAUGGCUGGCUGGGAUACUUUACCUCAGUGGGGAAGCUCCUAAUCUCUUCCCAGAGGAACUGCCUUCAUCUGCAACACGGCACGGAGAAGUUCAAGCCUAAGCAAAGGGCAUCAGAUCUGAAAUACAAGCAGCAACAGGAGAAUAUGAAGAGGAGGAGUCUUAAAAGUCAACUCAAAAAACGGGUUGUAGAGACUCCUCAUCCUGAGGUGUGAGGGAGGUGAUUUAAGACAAGGCGAUAACCCACCUGAAGCCAAGCCUUAUCUGUGUCCAGCCCUGCUCGCCUGACUGGGGAAGACCAAUCGACAGUUCUUGAAGGUAAACCAGAGUCGAGCUGCAUGGUAUCUUCUCGAGGUGGAGACUGGGGGGCUGUUGACCAAUCAGCUGAAAGGACCAGCGUAACAGAGCCAGCAACUGAGAACUGAGACAGCUGGGACAGAAGUCAGCCUACCCCACAACAAACUGGAAAACAUCGAGAAGACUAUCACACAUACAGAGGAAGGAAUACACAAAAGGGAGUGCUUGUCCUAUGUUUGCCCUGAGGCAAGGCCGGCUCCGAGAGGACAGCAGCCCACGGCCGUCCUGCCCAGCCUCCUGCCUUCGCACAUGCUGUUCCUUUAGCCUGAAUCACUCUUCUCUCCCCUCUUUGGCCAACUCACCUCCCUGUCACCCUUCAUAGCUCAGCUCAGUGUCACCUCCUCAGGGAAGCUUUCUCUCACUGCAACACAGGCUCCCCUUGCCAUCGCGUGCUCCAAUGCCCAUGUCAGCUUGUAACCAUAAAUUUAUUAUUUGUGCAAUUAUUGGGUUUCUGUCUGUCUUCUCCUCUCAGACAUGAGCUGGACGAGGGGUGAGGUGCUGUCUUUCUUCACCUGGCCCAGGGCCUGGCACACAGAAGGUGCUCAGAGAACCAACGAACAGAUGCAUGUGCAUAACAGACCUGCUCUUGUGCAGUCUUCCCGCCCAACUCAAAAUUCUUAUGAGCCCAUUGCAGAACUUUGAGUGCUGGCUCACAGAGUCCUCUUUGAAACUCAUGCUUCUUAUUUCAACAACAACGCCUCUCCUCCUGCUGCCCCUCUGUGCCCAGCCCCUCGCUGAGUGGUCCUGGGGCAGCAGAGAAAGCUCAGUCCCAGAUCCUGCCCAUGAGAAGUUCCAGUCUGAGGGUGGGAGCACAGAGCUGGACACAGACACUGCCAGCCCAAGUGUUGAGGGUAAAAUGAGGGUCUCAGGGCUGGGGAGUAGGGAAGGGAGAGUGUCCUGGAGAAGGGCCUUGACUUGGCAUGGAGAGCAGAGCAUGAAGAAUUAUUAGUCUGGAAGGGUGGAGGCAUUCCUAGCAGAGGGACUGCAUAUGCAAAGGCCCUGAGGCUUGAGAAAUGGUGGUUUUAGGAUAGAGGAGCCAGGGGAAAUGGCUACAGAGGGGACUGGCUAGGUCCAUUAGAGGCAGGUUGUAACGGACCCUAAGGCCAAGCAGAUGAGGUUGAACUACGUCCCACAGGAAGAGAAUAAACUAGCGUCAGCUGUUGUCAAAGUAGGGCAGGCAAGAUGUUCCAGUAAGAAUCAGACAGGGUGGCUAGGAAGAGUGGAACAGGUCGCACACUACACUAACCUAAGGGGGGCGGGGGUGCCAUGCACACAGACUGCAAUGAGUAGGGUACUUACACACAUGUACACACACACGCACACACACACACAGGGGAAUUAUGCGGUAUAGUGGCCCUGCAUGUAGGAGAAAACUGAAGAACUUUCAUUGACAUUUUUUAUGUGCUUAGGGGUUUCUUUGGUUUUUUAGAUUCCACAUAUAACAGAGAUCGUACAGUACUUGUCUUUCUCUGUCUGACUUAUUUCCACUCAGCAUAAAGCCCUUGAAGCCCAUCC